UGGGGAAUUUUGGACAAUGGGCGCAAGCCUGAUCCAGCCAUGCCGCGUGAGUGAAGAAGGCCUUCGGGUUGUAAAGCUCUUUCGCGAGGGAAGAAAAGGUACGGGUUAAUAACCCGUGCUCAUGACGGUACCUUGAUAAGAAGCACCGGCUAACUACGUGCCAGCAGCCGCGGUAAUACGUAGGGUGCGAGCGUUAAUCGGAAUUACUGGGCGUAAAGCGUGCGCAGGCGGUUUGUUAAGUCAGAUGUGAAAGCCCCGGGCUCAACCUGGGAACUGCGUUUGAAACUGGCAAGCUAGAGUUUGGGAGAGGGAGGUAGAAUUCCACGUGUAGCAGUGAAAUGCGUAGAUAUGUGGAGGAACACCGAUGGCGAAGGCAGCCUCCUGGCCCAAAACUGACGCUCAUGCACGAAAGCGUGGGGAGCAAACAG
Molecule: ribosomal RNA, 428 nt
Filed under: uncultured bacterium
Lineage: Bacteria
Description: bacterial SSU rRNA
Rfam family: Bacterial small subunit ribosomal RNA
Source: RNAcentral